This 372-nucleotide ribosomal RNA is filed under the name uncultured Sulfuricurvum sp. RNAcentral describes it as "bacterial SSU rRNA". It matches the Rfam family "Bacterial small subunit ribosomal RNA", at positions 1006 to 1382 of the family's 1533-position model. The record is from RNAcentral. Lineage: Bacteria; Pseudomonadati; Campylobacterota; Epsilonproteobacteria; Campylobacterales; Sulfurimonadaceae.
AGGGGUGCUAGCUUGCUAGAACCUACACACAGGUGCUGCACGGCUGUCGUCAGCUCGUGUCGUGAGAUGUGGUUAGUCCGCAACGAGCGCAACCCUCGUCCUUAGUUGCUAACAGUUCGGCUGAGCACUCUAGGGAGACUGCCUUCGCAAGGAGGAGGAAGGUGAGGACGACGUCAAGUCAUCAUGGCCCCUACGGCCAGGGCUACACACGUGCUACAAUGGGGCGUACAGAGAGCUGCGAUACCGCGAGGUGGAGCCAAUCUCUUAAAGCGUCUCUCAGUUCGGAUUGUUCUCUGCAACUCGAGAACAUGAAGCUGGAAUCACUAGUAAUCGCAGAUCAGCUAUACUGCGGUGAAUACGUUCCCGGGUCUU